CAAGUGCAUUUCUUAAUUUAUUUUAAACACACAUUUUCAGUAAUAGUUAGGUCUCCUAUACAGCUUCCUCCUAGUGGUGGGACGUGGUAAUCAGUGUUGCUUGAAGUGUAAUUUAAAAAACAAAACAAGCACUACUGAAAGCUAAUGGCCGCUCGCUCUGGUACAUCUCAGGGUUUAAUUAACUUUUAAUUACUUCAUUUGCACGCAAUUAAGUGCCAAUUAUGAUCAAUGUGAUCGAAUGAUAUAUUCUUUCAUGUGUUUAAUGUCUUUUAGUAAUAAUUUACAAGAACGUGAUGUAGUUUAUCAAUGUAUUUUUUGUUUUAUAAUUUUUUAUACGUUCUAGUUUUUCACAAUUUUUGUCAUUCGUGACUGCGUCCAGAGCAAUCGUAGCAUCGGUGUGUGCUCAUAAUGCAUUUAUUACUCUUUUUUUGUAGCUAAAUAAGUCGAUUAAGUCAAAUUAGAGUUAAUCGAAAUUUGGGAAGUAGACUCACGUUUGUGUUCAUGGAUUAUUCAUCAUCAUCUUGAACCAAUCAUCAUCUGGCAAGGAUCAUUGGUGGCUCUACUUGAAUGAAAGAAGAAUCAUUUUUAUUUGUCCUUGGGCAGGAUGCUCAUCAGGCAAAGUUCAACAAAGACAUUAAACUAUUAUUGCAAUCGUCCCUGAAGCAAUGAAUUAAUCAA
Vespula pensylvanica (western yellowjacket) is the source of this 678-nucleotide long non-coding RNA. RefSeq lists it as uncharacterized. NCBI's taxonomy places the organism in Eukaryota, Metazoa, Arthropoda, Insecta, Hymenoptera, Vespidae. The record is from RefSeq and is a predicted model, not a curated record. The transcript has 3 exons.